This is a long non-coding RNA of Microtus oregoni (creeping vole), 402 nucleotides long. RefSeq lists it as uncharacterized. The record is from RefSeq and is a predicted model, not a curated record. The transcript has 4 exons. NCBI's taxonomy places the organism in Eukaryota, Metazoa, Chordata, Mammalia, Rodentia, Cricetidae.
UGCUGAAGAAGUAACAGAUCUAGUCCUCUUCUAUUUCGUAAGGCUACCUCAGCUAAACUGUCUAGGGAGGCCUCCGGGCUCAACAUAGAUGACUCUAGGUGUUGGAUGUCUUCGUCAAUGGACUUAUGUAGAUGCUGACUGAUAUCCAGCCUGUUGGGUGACGGGUCAGCAUGCCUAAUCCUGUCAACCAUGCCCCAAGGAGGAUGGACAAGACAAAGAUACCAUUGACCUGGAUGAACCGCCAGCGCUCCAGCGGGCGGAUGAUGAUGAAAGUCCAGCGUGCAUUGGAAGGGUUUGAACGUCAAUGCACGGCUUGAGGCUGCGGUGUUGAUGUCGCCAGAACCAAGACCCAAUCUCCAGGCUGGAAGGUAUGCAGCUUAGUGACCUGAACAAAGAUAACCU